AGAGUUUGAUCAUGGCUCAGAUUGAACGCUGGCGGCAUGCCUUACACAUGCAAGUCGAACGGCAGCACGGGGGCAACCCUGGUGGCGAGUGGCGAACGGGUGAGUAAUGCAUCGGAACGUGUCCUCUUGUGGGGGAUAACCAGUCGAAAGACUGGCUAAUACCGCAUGAGAUCGAAAGAUGAAAGCGGGGGACCGCAAAGGCCUCGCGCGAGAGGAGCGGCCGAUGCCGGAUUAGCUAGUUGGUGGGGUAAAGGCCUACCAAGGCGACGAUCCGUAGCUGGUCUGAGAGGACGACCAGCCACACUGGGACUGAGACACGGCCCAGACUCCUACGGGAGGCAGCAGUGGGGAAUUUUGGACAAUGGGCGCAAGCCUGAUCCAGCAAUGCCGCGUGUGUGAAGAAGGCCUUCGGGUUGUAAAGCACUUUCGGACGGAACGAAAUCGCGCGGAUGAAUAAUCCGCGUGGAUGACGGUACCGUAAGUAGAAGCACCGGCUAACUACGUGCCAGCAGCCGCGGUAAUACGUAGGGUGCAAGCGUUAAUCGGAAUUACUGGGCGUAAAGGGUGCGCAGGCGGCCCCGCAUGUCAGGCGUGAAAUCCCUGGGCUCAACUUGGGAAUGGCGCUUGAAACUACGGAGCUUGAGUGUGGCAGAGGGAGGUGGAAUUCCACGUGUAGCGGUGAAAUGCGUAGAGAUGUGGAGGAACACCGAUGGCGAAGGCAGCCUCCUGGGCCAACACUGACGCUCAUGCUCGAAAGCGUGGGGAGCAAACAGGAUUAGAUACCCUAGUAGUCC
Molecule: ribosomal RNA, 794 nt
Filed under: uncultured bacterium
Lineage: Bacteria
Description: bacterial SSU rRNA
Rfam family: Bacterial small subunit ribosomal RNA
Source: RNAcentral